Misgurnus anguillicaudatus (oriental weatherfish) is the source of this 483-nucleotide non-coding RNA. The record is from RefSeq and is a predicted model, not a curated record. NCBI's taxonomy places the organism in Eukaryota, Metazoa, Chordata, Actinopteri, Cypriniformes, Cobitidae.
AAAAGCCAGGGGGCGCUCUCGGGCAGAAACUUAACAUGCGAAGAACCAGACACACGCAGCUCCAGGAAAUUAAGGAUAUAUUUAUAUUGCUGUUCUUCAAACCUUUUCAGGGAAGGAAAAACAAAUCAUGACACUUUCUCACAUUAUUCUGAAAAUUAGAGGGGUGCGAGGGGCCUCCAACACUUCAAAUAUCUAGAACCGGCCCUGGUCUCUUGAGAUACUUAGAAAUCCCACCGGAAGCAGAUCAUCCAGAUCAGAGCUUCUGUUUCCUGUCCUCUUAGUAAAAUGGCUUCAAUCGAGGAGAAAUGUCAGAUUUCAAACCGACUUCAGAUGACAAAUGCUGUCCUUGCAAGGGUCAGAAUGGGGUCAAUCUGUAUAAUAGGACUAAACUUUUCCUGCUGGUUUUGUCCGUCUCAGUUAAUUUCUUCUUGGAAGUCUGAGCGCUCUUAGGAUGAAUUGUAAGUACUCCUAAACAACAUCCUG